Molecule: long non-coding RNA, 2187 nt
Organism: Lolium perenne
Lineage: Eukaryota; Viridiplantae; Streptophyta; Magnoliopsida; Poales; Poaceae
Source: RefSeq, a predicted model, not a curated record
UCCAAUCUACGGAGGCAGCUAGUCAACCACCAUGGCGCCCCCAUUACCGCAUCCCAGCACCGCGCCGCCCCCCACCAUCGCGCCGCCCGCAACACCUCGCCGCCGAGCCACCCAACACAUCCCACCCCCUACCCACACCGACCACAACAGCAAUGGGAUCUCCAUUCCCUUCUAUCGCCCUGCGGCGCCGCACGAACAUAGCGCGGCAUGGUGCCCUACGCAGCUCCCCAGCCUGUAUGUCCUAUCUUAUCGAUGAAGCAGCUCCUGCGGGGGAUUAAACAAAUGUCCAGUCGACGUCACCACCAAGACAACCAAGAUUCCCCCGCAGACGCGGGAAGAUACCACCGGCAGCAAGAUUAUAUCCCAUCAUCUUUGGCCUCCUGGACAGUGGACGCCACUGGUGCAGAUUCAGACUACUUUUUUCCAAGUUAUGCUUCCUGUAAGCCCACAUGUUCUACUAGCGGAAAGGUGCAGAUCUCUAAUUCGUGUUUUAUUUUCGAAUUAUGCUUAGCCCACAUGUUCUACUAUCUCGAUGCACUUAUUGUGGAGUAGCAGUAUAAUUUGGAGGAUUGGAAUAUCACCCUGAUUUUCUAAUUGCCCGUAUUAAAACUCAUAUUUUCAUGUCCAGUGAUGAUCAGAAGCUGCUCGAUAAAAUGCCCCUUUGGUUUCAAGUUUCUUUAUUGUCAUUUUACUCUUGACGAAAUGACAUUUGUGAAACAUAACCUAUGGUAUUAUUUUUUCAUUCAGCUCCAGACAUUUGAUACUUGCCAUCUAAUUUUAAAUUUCAUUUUGAUUAUCGUAAUGAACUACUUCCUCUAAUCCCUUUUAAUUGACUUGGAUUUAGUUAAACUUCCUUUUAAUUAACUCGGAUUUAGUGGGAUCGGACGGAGUAGAAAAUUCAUAAUUAAAGAGUAUAUGGACUCCGUAUGUAGAAUGUUAUCUCCACUUAUACAUGAACCUUCCCGGCUUAGAGUCGGGAAACUUUUAUAUGAUCUAAACCAUGGUUUGAUGACUAUAAUUUGCAAGAAAUUUCAUUUGGCAUUGCAUAAUGUCCAUUGCUACUUAAGCAACUAAAUUUAGCAUUUAAAAUUGCAGAGUAAAUUAUUUCAGUUAUAUCUAUGUACUACGGAUAGUGUAGGUGGAGCAUAAUUUCAAUUGACAAGUAAGAACAGUUAAGUAAGCCAUUGUCACGACUUAAUUUAGUACCAUCAACUAGAGUUCUGGUGAUGGACAAACCAAGUACAAAACUGGGUUUGUGAUGAUUGCCAUUUUUUUUAUUUUUGUACUUCUUGCAGGAACUUGUCAACAGAGUUGUCUCUACGUGAAGCCACAAUUCUUAAAAGGGUAAAGGCACAGUUAUAAUAGCAUGAAGUUAUAAUAGCAUGCAGUUUGUUCAAAUGCUUAGACCUCACAUAAUGAUUUUAUAUACCCAUAUGGUAAAUAUUUCUUCUUAGUAGAUAAAUAUAUUUUGAACCGGUUUGGGUUGUCACCUCCGGAAAGUACACCUUUUCACCCCGUCGGUUGUAGUCAUGCCAGAGUUAUAAAACAUAAGUGCAGACUCCAUAUCAUGGGAAGCGCACAUUUCUUAUGCCCGAAGUACACAAAAAAACUUCAUUCUUUUAAGUCUUGGCAACUACGGAGAUGACUUCUAGUUCCUGACCUUUAGGAAACGAGCUCAAUUAUUCCAUCAUAAUUCACAAGAUCUCCAGUGUUGCACUCUUCUGGUAGUUUGCCAUGGAGAUGUCGAUACUUCCUUUGUUUUUUCUAUAUAAUGCAUACCUAUGCAGAACACUACCAACUUUCCAUUUCUGCAGAUUAUCCUCCAUCCAGAUGGGAGUGGAAUUAGGAAAUGUAAAUUUUGAUAUGUCUCCAUCAGGUGGAGGGACUAACGUAUACGCGAGUACUGAUGAUCCGGGAGAACAAUUCUUGCUAUGGAUUACCAACACUAUGGUGCUUUGGUGUUGGCUCUUGUGAUGAUUAGCAGAGGAAUCAAGUCUGUUUUUGGUUUCAGCGUAGACAUUUUUAUUCUGGCAUUUUGGAUUAGUUAUGAAGUUCUCGAUGUUUUUGCCAUGAGGCGGCCAUAUGAUGUUGUUACAGACGACUAGUUGUUUAGUUGUUUGUGUCUCACUAAUGUAAACGUAAUUUUCAGUAUUUUUAUAUAUUUUGUAACUGAAACGACAGUUUGUA